This 433-nucleotide ribosomal RNA is filed under the name uncultured bacterium. RNAcentral's name for it is "partial 16S ribosomal RNA". It matches the Rfam family "Bacterial small subunit ribosomal RNA", at positions 29 to 507 of the family's 1533-position model. The record is from RNAcentral.
AACGAACGCUGGCGGCAUGCCUAACACAUGCCAGUCGAACGAGACCUUCGGGUCUAGUGGCGCACGGGUGCGUAACGCGUGGGAACCUGCCCUUAGGUUCGGAAUAACUCAGAGAAAUUUGAGCUAAUACCGGAUAAUGUCUUCGGACCAAAGAUUUAUCGCCUUUGGAUGGGCCCGCGUAGGAUUAGCUUGUUGGUGGGGUAAUGGCCUACCAAGGCGACGAUCCUUAGCUGGUCUGAGAGGAUGAUCAGCCACACUGGGACUGAAACACGGCCCAGACUCCUACGGGAGGCAGCAGUGGGGAAUAUUGGACAAUGGGCGAAAGCCUGAUCCAGCAAUGCCGCGUGAGUGAUGAAGGCCUUAGGGUUGUAAAGCUCUUUUACCAGGGAUGAUAAUGACAGUACCUGGAGAAUAAGCUCCGGCUAACUCCGUG